This 434-nucleotide ribosomal RNA is filed under the name uncultured Clostridium sp. Its description in RNAcentral is "partial 16S ribosomal RNA". It matches the Rfam family "Bacterial small subunit ribosomal RNA", at positions 341 to 792 of the family's 1533-position model. Lineage: Bacteria; Bacillati; Bacillota; Clostridia; Eubacteriales; Clostridiaceae. The record is from RNAcentral.
ACGGAAGGCAGCAGUGGGGAAUAUUGCACAAUGGGGGAAACCCUGAUGCAGCGACGCCGCGUGAGUGAAGAAGUAUUUCGGUAUGUAAAGCUCUAUCAGCAGGAAAGAAAAUGACGGUACCUGACUAAGAAGCCCCGGCUAGCUACGUGCCAGCAGCCGCGGUAAUACGUAGGGGGCAAGCGUUAUCCGGAUUUACUGGGUGUAAAGGGAGCGUAGACGGCAUAGCAAGUCUGAAGUGAAAGCCCGGGGCUCAACCCCGGAACUGCUUUGGAAACUGUCAAGCUAGAGUGCAGGAGAGGUAAGUGGAAUUCCUAGUGUAGCGGUGAAAUGCGUAGAUAUUAGGAGGAACACCAGUGGCGAAGGCGGCCUGCUGGGCUCUAACUGACGCUGAGGCUCGAAAGUGUGGGGAGCAAACAGGAUUAGAUACCCUGGUA